UGCCAUGUAAGUAUUUUGGAGCAGAGAAUUAAGUGCAGGCUGUUUAAAAUAAACUUCAGGUAAAGCAUCUGCCACUUAUGUAUUUUACAUGUAAAUGCACUUUUAACUGCACAAAGAAAUAAAAAAAUAACACCAGCCAUAUCACUAUUAUAAGAAUGAGUGUACUGGAACAGAAAAAAAUACAUAUAGGAGAUUAAAAACUAGAUGAAUCCACAACCAUAGCAGCUUCUGUAUAAGGAUUUUAUUUAGUGUGAAAUGUUUUGUGAACCGGUCUCUUCCUCAGACAUCAGAAGUUUGUGUUUUUUGCUGCACAAACCCAUCUUUUUGUUAUUAGCUCCACUCCCUCUGUCUCCUAUAAAGUUUAUGGCAUCUCUGCUGACAACCAUGUAGAACAAAGGGGGGAAACAUUCUAUAAACUCAUAAGAAACUAGCACUCACUCUCACUGUAUUUUACUCAUCGACACACACAGAAAGAGAUGCAGUUCACAUGUGUAUCAAAACACAGACUGAUGAUUAUACAUUUUUUCUUUUUUCUUUUUUUUUAAACCUCCUCCCCGACCAAUUUAUUUCUUCCCUUCACAACCACAGACAAAAUGUAUGGACACGUUUUUUUCCCCUCCACCACAUUUCCUCCAUUUCUCAUCUUGUCUCAUCUCUUGAUCAUUUACUUGAUCAUUUCCAGCACUGUCCCAUCUGGACAAACCAUGAAACAUCAAACAGAUAGUUACAUCUGGCCUCAUCAUGCUGACAUCUUAGUGCAUGUAUGGGUGUGUGUGCGUGCGUGUCUGUUGUCAGUCCUGAUGCAUUGAUGAUUUAUUGCCGUGUAUUAUGACUAUUACUCUGUGAAGUCAAAUUUGGCACUGAACACAUGACGUGAACGUUAAUACUGGAUUCAAGUUUUUUCUCAGGAAGAGAAAAGGAAAAAACUAAAUGGGUAUCAAGUGAAAGAUUUUUCAAUAGAAAAUAUGAAGAACAUCGAAGAUAUUUCCUAAAAUGUCAAAAGGGCACAGCAAAACCAAGAGAUACAACAAUCCAUGACAAAGUAGUUAGCAGGGGUGUCUGAGGAUUGUAAUGAUUUCAGGAAGAACGCUUGAAAUAAA
Astatotilapia calliptera (eastern happy) is the source of this 1100-nucleotide long non-coding RNA. Lineage: Eukaryota; Metazoa; Chordata; Actinopteri; Cichliformes; Cichlidae. The record is from Ensembl.